RNAcentral lists this ribosomal RNA (477 nucleotides) under uncultured bacterium. Its description in RNAcentral is "bacterial SSU rRNA". It matches the Rfam family "Bacterial small subunit ribosomal RNA", at positions 27 to 518 of the family's 1533-position model. The record is from RNAcentral.
GGACGAACGCUGGCGGCACGCUUAACACAUGCAAGUCGAACGGAGAUAAUUGAGUUACUUAGAUUAUCUUAGUGGCGGACGGGUGAGUAACACGUGAGCAACCUACCUUAGAGAGAGGGAUAGCUUCUGGAAACGGAUGGUAAUACCUCAUAACAUAACUGAACCGCAUGAUUUGGUUAUCAAAGAUUUAUCACUCUGAGAUGGGCUCGCGUCUGAUUAGAUAGUUGGUGAGGUAACGGCUCACCAAGUCGACGAUCAGUAGCCGGACUGAGAGGUUGAACGGCCACAUUGGGACUGAGACACGGCCCAGACUCCUACGGGAGGCAGCAGUGGGGAAUAUUGCACAAUGGGGGAAACCCUUGAUGCAGCGAUGCCGCGUGGAGGAAGAAGGUUUUCGGAUUGUAAACUCCUGUCUUAAAGGACGAUAAUGACGGUACUUUAGGAGGAAGCUCCGGCUAACUACGUGCCAGCCGCGGC